Molecule: long non-coding RNA, 928 nt
Organism: Equus asinus (donkey)
Lineage: Eukaryota; Metazoa; Chordata; Mammalia; Perissodactyla; Equidae
Source: Ensembl
CCGGGCCCCGCCCACCCGCGGCUGCGGCAAACGAGGGCCCGCCCUCCGGCCACGCCCCCCAGAGCCGCCAAUCCCCGGGCUGGGGCGGGGCGCAGUGCCUUAACCCCUUCGUGUCUGCGUCCCGGCCCCCGCGUGGGACCCCUCUGUCCCACCCACUCCAGGGGGCAGUGAGCCUGCCCCGAGCCUUUCUGCUCGUCGUCUGUUACUCCCCAAGCCCUUGGGCUCAGCCCCUAGUCUCUCCUUUCCAAUGAAACCAGUGUGACCGCGCCCUCCGCCACAUCUUUGGCGACCGAGAGGAGCCCCUCUCGCUUGGGGAAGGGUCUCCGGACGCUGAGCCCCGAGCCCCAUUCGUCUCCCGCUGUUGCUCUUCCGGACGCGGCCUCCCAGCGGAUGCUGUGAGACCCUGCAAGUCUGCACGCUGGGGGCGGGGCGAGCCGUCGCGAGUGGAUCUGACACUGCCGAGCGAAGACCGCCCGGGCGCAGGGACCGCAGCCGCGCGUGCGGGAGACUUCGAGUGGCCGUGACUCCGCUCGUCAGGAAACGCAGCGGGUUUGAAACUUGUUGCUUGCGGAGGGUCGCCGUCCGCGGGAAAGGGCGGACGACGAGGAAAAAGACAUUACAAUCCAGCAGGGUUUGAGUGCUUUCACCCUGUGCCCCGCACCUGACACGAGGCCCGGCCCGGGCCCGCACGCUGCAUCCGGGGAUCCAUCUUUCACUUGACUGGUGGUUUCAGGGAAGACCCUGCAUGUAAUGUUUUUCUAAGCCUUUACCCUAGGUAGGUAAGAAGGCCUUUCUACUAUCUUUGCACACAAAUGGUGGCUUGACUGUUACAGAAUUCUUGAGUCUCAAACUUUUCCCCUCAAGACUCUUGUCCUUAUUCCAUUGUCUUUUGGCUUUCAAAAUGGUACAAGUACACCUGAAACUAAUA